GGAACCGGGAGAGUUGAGGAUGGGAGAGGCAGCCUCCAUCUCCUCCUUUUUUCCUCUCUUCCUCCCUGAGCAAACACUGGGUUUUGAAUCCUGGCUCUGCCACUCUCCAGCUGUUGGCUCUGUGCAUAGAAGGCUGAUCUUGAGUUUCUGAAGCUUUAAAAUGGGGAUUAUAGGAGUCAUUUUUACAGGGGUGGGGAGAAGCUUUAUUCAUCAACUCCGCAGGGCUCUGUGGACUGCCUGCUACAUGCCAGGCGCUGCUCCAAGGGAUAGGAAUACAUCAGGGAAUAAAUCAAACAAAAAUUUCUGCCUUCAUGGUUUUUACAUUCUAGAAAAGGGAGACAGGCAAUGAACAAGGUGAUGGGUGAUGUUGGCAGAAAGUAUGUCAGCAGGGAUGCUUAGUGCUGGGAGGAGGGGUGCGCAGCAUCAGAUCAAGUGCUCCGUGACAGGAGGGCUCACUGACAUGCAUGGGGCCAAGCCUGGGGGAUGUAAGGAGAUGAGCUGGUUGGAUACCUGCGGAAAGGCAUUCCAGGCAGAAGGAAUAGCAAGGGCAAAGCCCUGGCUCUGGAGGGGCGCCUAAUUUGUGAAGCUUCAAGGAGGCUUCCAAAUGCCCAUGGACGUACAAUUAUCUAACCAAAAAGAAAAAACAUUUUUUUGUCAACAAGAGACCUCUCCGAGCCUCAACCACGGUUUCCCCCGGGCCGGGCAAACCUGAUGCGCUCUCCAGGUGGCGGUCCCCCGUGCAUGUGGGGCAAGGAGAAGAUUACCUCACCUAUCAGUUGCCUAUCAGCUGCCAAGACUCCUGCUCUUGUUGGCUCUCUAUGGUGAUGCCAGAGCAGUCUCCACACUGCAGACCUCCCCGGGUUGGCCCUCGGCUCAAGACUGGUUCAUGCUUUCUAAAGGAACUUGACUUUGCCUGAAACCUUUCAUUGAUCAUGGGGUCAAUGUCAGCCUUUGAAGCCCACCAUAUGGACAAUAAGAACUUGGGAGCAAACAGAAGACCCAGAUGAGGAAACAAAGCAAAGCUUCAAUUUUUUCUCAAGCCCAUCUCUCAAGUAUCAAUCACAGAUGUGAGCUUCACACCCAGUGCUAGAUUCCAAAAACAUAAAGCUGAAUCAGGCACUGUCUCUACCCUCAAAGAAUUUGCAGACUAGAAGGGAAGAAGAAAAUAAAAAAUUAUGAUUCAGUUUGGUGUCAGGCACUGUGCUGGGGAUAUAGCGGUGGACAAGAAAAACACGGUUGCCCUGCUCGGAGACGGGUGCAUUUCAGGAAGGUUGCUGGACUGAGGGGUCAGCAUUUAAGAAACACAAGUGUGCAUCGGUCUCAGAAACACCCCUCACCAGUAGUCAACCAGCAUUCCAGUUCAAGGCCUAUUUCUUUUGGGUCUUAAAAUCCAAGAUGACUUCCAGGCUCACCCGAGGACCCACUGCAGAGCUUGGGGGAACCUUCAUGAUCUCCUCAAACUAGCAUUUUAGUCCUGGUAGUCCUGGAGACAUGAGCCAGUCUAAAAGGUCGACUUUACCUUUUUGUCCAAGAGGCCGUGGAAUGCUCAUGCCAACAGAUGCUUGGAGAAUGAGGAAACUGAGGGUGAGUGACUUGCCCAUACCACGGAUCCCACGGAUCGAUCCAGUAGGCCGCAACGUUGGAUGUAAGCCAGCCCACGCAGACUCCCUGGCCUGCUGACUCCCCCAUGGGUGACACCGCUCCAUCGCCCCGUUGAUGCUGGGGAGAGUCCCCCUGACUUCUCUGUGUUGACUGGGUUUCCAUUCCUUGAGGCCACACCGUCAGGAGCUGCUGCUGGCCUGCUAUGUCAAAGCAAGAAGACACCCUUCCUGGUGAGGGGCAGCGGCUCCCUCAGCCUGUCAGAGGGACAGUUCAUGCUGUGCUCAGGGUGGAGGCCACAGAGGCCUCGAUAGCACCAGCCUUGACUCUACCUAAAGUCCUCCCCUGGGGACAGGAUUGGUUGUUUGAUGUGUCCUCGAAGGGAACGUGUUUUACUCACCCCCGUGUGGUCCUGGUCCCACGUUCUCAAGGUGAAUGGACUGAAUGGGGGUUGAAAGUCCCACAGAGAAUCUACAGGAUUCCAUUUGACAUUGACUGCAGAUUCCUUCAUUCACCCAGCGUGUGUUCACGGAGGGGCCACAGCGAGCCAGACGCCGUUGGGCGCAGCCAUAGAACAGACACUCCCUGUUCCAGCACGGAGGCUGUCAGCUUUCCAGCAGCUCUGCGUGUUGGCAGCUCUCAGCUGUGUCCCUCUGUGGGAAUGUCCUCAGCUGAAAAGAGUGCCUAGCCCCAGCUUUCACUCCCUCUUUGAGGCAGCCUUUAUCCAAGACAGGUCAAUGGGAGGGUCUGGUCUCAAUUUAAGACAACUCUGAAGGGUCGUCCUCAGCUCAGAGUCUCUAUAGGACCAGCUGAGUCCUGUGUGGCUCCUGCUUUGCAGGUCAACUUCUCCAUGUGUCCAGUCCUGCCCUCCCUGCUGUUGUACAGGGCUCGAUCCCAAAGACUCUCCCCAGGAAACUUCUUACAUGCGCAUCUUCAUUUCCAGGGAUGCCACCUUGCUGGGGAUCCCACCCUGUGACAGUAGUAAGCAAAACAGACAUGAUACCUGUCCUCACAGAGUUUUGAAGCUGGCCUAGUCAUCAGACCUGCCUUUGUUUCUCCCCAAGGCCUAUUCUAGAACAUCCAGGCCCAUUAUAGGUGUGCUCAUGGUGAUGCUUGCCAGUGGUCCAAGCAAAAACCCUUGCAGCCAUGCCAUUCCCUGCAGCCAUAAUUAAGACAAGAACAGGACUGACUUGGCAUCUUGUAAUCAUUCAUAUUUGUUCCAUAAAUCUGAUAUUGAGUGUCCUCUGUGUCCCAGGUCCCUGUGCCAAGGCCAGGGACAGAGAUACGUAAGGUGUAGCUCUUGACUUUGAAGACCAUCGUCUGGACAGGAAGAUGGAUAAGUAACCGGACAGUUGGGGACAUAACCGGAUCAAGGCCCCAGUGAAGUCCUGCAGAGCACUCUGGGAGCUCAGAGGACUUGGUAAUGGCCGAUUUAGGGGACCAGGGAAGGAAUCCCAGAGAAGCAGAAGGAGGGGAGCAGGGUGAGGGUGGUGUUGAUCAGAUAAAGAAGGAGAAAUGAAUUUCAGAUAGAAGAAAUGUGUGCAUCAAAGCACAACUAGGGGUGAGAGAAUGAGCACAUUCGUGUUCAUUAUUCACUAAGCUCCACAACACCCGAACAAGGUUGUCUGCAGGGAUCCUUAUCCCUAUUUUAUAGAGAAGCAGAGGCCCUGGGAGGAUAACUAGCUUGUUAUAUACGGCUGCUGGACUUGAACCCGAGUCCUCUGGUAUCAAAUCGACGGCUCUGUUUAUUGCCCUGGUCAGCAAAUACGGAAUUUUGUUUCCGUGGCCAGUAUGGUGCCCGAUGAGGAUUAAAAGGCAUGGAAUAUCAAGGCUCAACUCCAGAUGUGCUUGCGUAUAGCAUAAACAACAACAACAGCAACGUGAUAAGGUCAUGGGACAAAUGCUGGAAUAAAGGUUCAUGCAAAUGCCCUGGGAUCAUGGCAGAGAUAGGCCCCAGAGAAACGUGCUUAGCCCUGUUUAAUAUUUGGUACCAGUGAUUUGGACAAAGACAUAUAAAGUCCGCUUAUCACAUCUGUGGCUGACAUGCAGCUGGGAGGGAUAGAAAAAAUGAUUGAUGACAAAAUCAAACUUCUAAAUGAUCUCAGUUGGCUGGAACGAUGAGCCAAAUCCAGUGAGAUGGAGUGCAGCAGGGGUCCACGUGAGGGCCAGCAUUUCCCUUCAAACAAUCAAUUGUGCGAGAAUAGGAGGGAGCCCGGCCUGGCCCCCGGCCAUAGGGGAGAGAUGUAGGGACUUCCCCCGGCCUCAAGUCCAACUUACACCCAGUGUUUAAAUUCAAAGUCUAACCAACUAGCACGCUCUCAAGUCUGUGUGAACAUCAUGGUCAGAGCGGUGGCUCACGUUUAGUGGGACAGCUCAUGAAUCAACUUUGAGGGUGGCCUGAUUGGGGUAGGGGUCGGGGAGAGCAUCUUCGGAUGGAGGAGGAAGUUACUUACACACUUCUCCAUUGAACGAUGCUCCCCCUGCACCUACCACCUGGCUGGUCCUGGAUAAUACGGAAUGUUGGUCUAGGACGCACUGGGACCUUGGCCGAAGGACUUGCACUUACAUUCUGCUGUUCAUCUGUUGUGUGACACUGGGAAAGUCACAGAACCCUGCUAGGCUUCAGUAUCCUUCUAGAACGGGCACAUCCAUUGCAAUUUCAAAGAGUCCUGUGAGUAACGAAUGAGAUCACGUAUGUAGAAUGCUAGACACAGGGCUUAGCCCGAAGGCGGUAUUAAAAAAUAAUAGCACAAACUAUUUACCAUCCAGACAAAUCCAGAGACAUCUAUCAACAGGCUGUAGGUCCCCAGGUCCUUUCGACUUAGGUUUAGAAUCAGGCCUUCCGUCUUCAGGUAGGUUUCAGAAGGGAUGAUUUUUCUUUGUGUGAUCAUGCCUUUCUGUUGGAGGUGUGUGUCUGCGUAUGGGUGCCUGCGUGUGUGUGUCUGUGCGUGUGUGUGUUGAAGUGCAGUAGAGUUCAAGACUGUGGAAGGACCCAGCUCUGGAAUCCCUGGAGGCGUUACACAGGUGACAGAGACAGUCAUCCACCUACCGAGUUGCUCCACAGCUCAUCGGGUCCCGGAAGGCACUUGAAUGAGGGUGGCAGGCAAAGCUGUCUUGGGCCCGAUCUCCAAAAUUCAAUCCACUUUGAUUCAAGUUGAUCUUGGGGCCUCUGGGGUCUCAGUUUCCUCAUCUGACAAGUAAGAGGGUUAGAUGAGCCGAGUGCUUCCCAGAGACGCACCCUGGGGAAGAUGCUGCGUGCGUCGAGGUCAGCUCCAGGCCGCUCCCUCCUCAGCUACAGUCCGGCUGCCCCACGUUAGGCUACCAUGGAGAUGAAGCCCCCCUGGCUGUGAGCACCCAGGCAGGGAAAAAAAAAAAAAAAAGUAAUUCAGGCAGGUCCUUUCCGGCUAGGCGCACAGCCAGACUCCAGGGCCGCUGUGCGGAGGGCCCUUCCCCGCUCUGGGGGAAGCGGGCGAGGCUGCCUUCAGCUCAGGUGGUGAUCCCGGGGUAUUGCCCAGGGUAUUGCAGAUUGAGCGAAGUAGUGAGAGUGCACGCUUGCCAUUUGUGUCGACGAGUCUCUUUGAAAUUUUACUUCCGAUGACAGUAUUAAUAAUGAAGUGACAAAAACGAGUUGGAGACUCCAGCUCACUUUGUAUUGCGGUAUCGCACAUGCAGACUUGCCUCGAUUGACAGCGUCUGUCAAGAACAGUGUUAGCCACAGCAUAAAUAAUUAGAUGCAACUUUACACUGUGCUCUCAUUUUAAAAUUUUUAAAAAAUGUCCUUUUUACAUGACACUAUGAGGUUGCCAAUUUUCUUUUUUCUGCAAAAGAUGGCUUUUCUUUCUGAGAUUAUCCUUUUCCCUUUUGAGGAGCUAGAGUGUGAAACUGUCAUCCUUUUAUGAGACGACAUAGCAAGUGAUGGAAGAGGUCUUUAUUUUUAUUUGAAAUUGUUUUUUUAUCGUAUUGCUUGGAAGGAUAAAAGGUUAAUGACCUUGUGAUUAUUUCCCUCUCUAAAAAAACAUUGGCCGGGUCCAGGAAAAUACAAGAAAAAAAAAAAGCCUAAAAACACAUUAAAAAAGAAUUUAUGGAUUAUAUCCCUAAAGGAAGGAGAUAGGUUUAUAAUCAUUAAAUAAAACACAUGGUCGAGAGGGUUAAUUUUGUGUCAACUUGCUUAUGCCACAGGGUGCCCAGAUGUUGGGUCGAACAUCAUGCUGGGUGUUUUGGGAUGACGUUAACAUUUAAAUCAGUGGACUGAGGAAGGAAGAUUGCCUGCCUGCCAUGAUACAGGUGGGCCUUGUUCAAUCAGUUGAAGGCCCGUGGGACUAGAACGGAAAGGA
This is a long non-coding RNA of Canis lupus familiaris (dog), 5933 nucleotides long. RefSeq lists it as uncharacterized. Lineage: Eukaryota; Metazoa; Chordata; Mammalia; Carnivora; Canidae. The record is from RefSeq and is a predicted model, not a curated record. The transcript has 9 exons.